UGGGGAAUCUUCCGCAAUGGGCGAAAGCCUGACGGAGCAAUGCCGCGUGGAGGUAGAAGGCCCACGGGUCGUAAACUCCUUUUCUCGGAGAAGAAGCAGUGACGGUAUCCGAAGAAUAAGCAUCCGCUAACUCUGUGCCAGCAGCCGCGGUAAGACAGGGGAUGCAAGCGUUAUCCGGAAUGAUUGGGCGUAAAGCGUCUGUAGGUGGCUCCUUAAGUCCGCUGUCAAAUCCCAGGGCUCAACCCUGGACAGUCGGUGGAAACUACUAAGCUGGAGUACGGUAGGGGCAGGGGGAAUUUCCGGUGGAGCGGUGAAAUGCGUAGAGAUCGGAAAGAACACCAAAGGCGAAGGCACCCUGCUGGGCCGACACUGACACUGAGAGACGAAAGCUAGGGGAGCGAAUGGG
Molecule: ribosomal RNA, 406 nt
Filed under: Acidobacteriota bacterium
Lineage: Bacteria; Pseudomonadati; Acidobacteriota
Description: Acidobacteria bacterium partial 16S ribosomal RNA
Rfam family: Bacterial small subunit ribosomal RNA
Source: RNAcentral